RNAcentral lists this ribosomal RNA (204 nucleotides) under Klebsiella aerogenes. RNAcentral describes it as "partial 23S ribosomal RNA". It matches the Rfam family "Bacterial large subunit ribosomal RNA", at positions 1548 to 1750 of the family's 2925-position model. Lineage: Bacteria; Pseudomonadati; Pseudomonadota; Gammaproteobacteria; Enterobacterales; Enterobacteriaceae. The record is from RNAcentral.
UUUUAACGCUGAGGUGUGAUGACGAGGCACUACGGUGCUGAAGUAACAAAUGCCCUGCUUCCAGGAAAAGCCUCUAAGCAUCAGGUAACAUUAAAUCGUACCCCAAACCGACACAGGUGGUCAGGUAGAGAAUACCAAGGCGCUUGAGAGAACUCGGGUGAAGGAACUAGGCAAAAUGGUGCCGUAACUUCGGGAGAAGGCACG